CGCUUGUCCACCAUAUUGGCUCUGUUGGACCAUCGUGAUCAAACCCAUUUUCAGCUCAAAGUUGUUAACGUUCACUCGUGGAGGCUCCUGAUACACAUACUGCGGAAUGAACGCUUCAUUUAUGGCUGGUUUUUUCUGAGCCUCUUUAGCAGCUUGAGCGUCCAACAGCUGUUGCAGCUGCUCAUGUAGAGCACGAAUCUGUUCAUUAGUAGCCAUCGUGUGCAGUGCCUGAAAAAAA
This 238-nucleotide long non-coding RNA is filed under the name Salvia miltiorrhiza (redroot sage). Its description in RNAcentral is "long non-coding RNA (SMIL_LNC012856)". The record is from RNAcentral. Lineage: Eukaryota; Viridiplantae; Streptophyta; Magnoliopsida; Lamiales; Lamiaceae.